AGGCCUACCAUGGUGGUAACGGGUAACGGGGUGUUAGGGCACGACACCGGAGAGGGAGCCUGAGAAACGGCUACCACAUCCAAGGAUGGCAGCAGGCGCGCAAAUUACCCAAUCCCGACACGGGGAGGUAGUGACAAUAAAUAACAAUACGGGGCUCUUUAGGGUCUCGUAAUUGGAAUGAGUACAAUUUAAAUCUCUUAACGAGGAACAAUUGGAGGGCAAGUCUGGUGCCAGCAGCCGCGGUAAUUCCAGCUCCAAUAGCGUAUAUUAAAGUUGUUGCAGUUAAAAAGCUCGUAGUUGAAUUUCGGGAUCAGCAGGUUGGUCGUGCCUCUGGUAUGCACUGGUUUCGCUGAUUCCUCCUUUCUGAAGAACUGUAAUGUCAUUAAUUUGGUGUUGCAGGGAAACAGGACUGUUACUUUGAAAAAAUUAGAGUGUUUAAAGCAAGCUAACGCUUGAAUACAUUAGCAUGGAAUAAUGAAAUAGGACGUUUGAUCCUAUUUUGUUGGUUUCUAGGAUUGACGUAAUGAUUAAUAGGGAUAGUUGGGGGCAUUAGUAUUCAAUUGUCAGAGGUGAAAUUCUUGGAUUUAUUGAAGACUAACUACUGCGAAAGCAUUUGCCAAGGAUGUUUUCAUUAAUCAAGAACGAAAGUUAGGGGAUCGAAGACGAUCAGAUACCGUCGUAGUCUUAACCAUAAACUAUGCCGACUAGGGAUCGGAUGAUGUUAAUUUUUUAAUGACUCAUUCGGCGCCU
Molecule: ribosomal RNA, 750 nt
Filed under: uncultured Glomus
Lineage: Eukaryota; Fungi; Glomeromycota; Glomeromycetes; Glomerales; Glomeraceae
Description: SSU rRNA
Rfam family: Eukaryotic small subunit ribosomal RNA
Source: RNAcentral